GCUUCGGCAGCCGCAAUCGGCCCUCCCCAUUCCCCAACCCAAUACCGGCGGCGCGCCGCUCCAUCCCUAGGCCGGCGCGGCGGCACCCCCACAGCCCCCAAAGACUCAGGCUAGGGCGGCCGGGCGGAUCCGCGCCAUCUCCAUCCGGCUGCUGCUGCUGAGCUGAUCUGCGCCUCAGCUGCUUGGCUGCGGACUGCAGUGCGGUGCAGCCGGCAGGCACCGUCGUGGCGUUGACGUCUGCCGUCAGGGACUCUGGAUCCGGCAGGCCGCAUUCCGGUUGAGCGCCCUCAGACCUCAGCACGACAUCCCUUGCUGCAGUGCGCAGUGCUGCUUGCCUGCUUAGCUUUGUCACCGUGAUUGAUAUAGUCUCGAGGAGUCUUAAGCAUUUGAAGCCAUUUUGGUGUGGACAAUUUGAUGAAUGUAUAGAAAAUGCCAAAGGUCAAACACUCAAGCUAGCCUGCUAAAGAAGAAGCACACUGAAGAGAAAUAUGUUCACAGAGUGAAUGCCAUCAUGCAUGCCCUUGAAAUCGAAAGGUCCCCUUCUCUACUUGAAGGUCAGUUGAAUACUCAUGAAUCUAGUACAUCCAUAGAAGACCUGAUGUUUUUCCGAGAACGUAUAAAGGAUCAGAUAUCAAAACCGAUGAGCCAAACUACUGAUUGUAGUAAAGAGGGUGUAUCUUCUAUUCAAGAUCAUAAGGGUUUCAAGGUGGAAAACAUAAGCUUUGUGACACCAAUACCUGAAGGUAGCCACAAUAGCUGUAAGAAUUUGUUGCCACCCCUGUAUGAAGGGACAAUGAAAUGCCAGUCACAAGACAGUGAUGUUGUUGGGUUGGGUGCAAGGGUUAAAGGUGUUGGCUGCGAGCCCACUGAACUUGAAAAUGAGACACAACUUUAUGACGUAGAGCUGACUGUUCAUGGAAACUAUGAGGGCCAUGGCUUGCCCCUUGCUUUAUUCACAAGUAAAUCAACCGGUAAACCUGUAAAAGGCUACCCUGUCACUGUGGAGGUUUUGGAGGAUGGUUGUUCUGCAGCAAGUAUCGCCGCUCACCAAUUAGCAGCCUUGAGUGGCUACACAAGAGUAGAAAUUAAUUACCGUGGCUAGCAAGAUAUUUACAUGCAUCACGAUCAAAUCCGGGGAGCAAACAGGAAGCCUGUAGUUGCAACUUGCAAAUGCCUCCUUUCUGCCGAGCUCAUCCCAAGGGGUGUUCAGCUGAUGCUGGCAGCACAAGGGAGUGCCAUGUGAGACCGACAACCAUUUUCACUGGUUCCUGAGGCCCUGUAACUGACGGCGAGAAGAAAAGUGCACCUGUGCGUUUGUUAUAAACUUAUAAUUCAGUUGAGAAGAAAAGUUGGGACUAUUGCAGGGUACAAUUCAAGUGGCAAGUCUCAGCUGUUUUGAUCUCUCUCAGUUGAAGUGGCAAGCUAGGGCAUGUACAGUAGUCAUCUGUGUUGAUCUCCACCAAACCUAGAGAUGACUUAAGAGACUAUUCAUAUAAUUAGUUGUGUAUCAUAGUAUCAUGUGCCUCCAUAUGAUCCUACGAGAUUUCUUAGUAGUCCAUGUCUCCAUGGGAUUGUAGGAUUUCAAGAUAUUUCAAGAUAAAUAUCCUGAUCCUGACAAAACCUUCUUGUUCAUUUUGAGUAAACGCACAAUAAUGAGUACAUACCUGCAUUUAUUAUUUGAGAA
Long non-coding RNA from Panicum virgatum (switchgrass), 1684 nucleotides. RefSeq lists it as uncharacterized. The record is from RefSeq and is a predicted model, not a curated record. NCBI's taxonomy places the organism in Eukaryota, Viridiplantae, Streptophyta, Magnoliopsida, Poales, Poaceae. The transcript is spliced from 3 exons.